This 293-nucleotide ribosomal RNA is filed under the name uncultured bacterium. Its description in RNAcentral is "partial 16S ribosomal RNA". It matches the Rfam family "Bacterial small subunit ribosomal RNA", at positions 337 to 628 of the family's 1533-position model. The record is from RNAcentral.
ACCUACGGGACGCAGCAGUGAGGAAUAUUGGUCAAUGGUCGGGAGACUGAACCAGCCAAGCAGCGUGAGGGAUGAAGGUACAGAGUAUCGUAAACCUCUUUUGUCAGGGAACAAAGGCGGGGACGUGUCCCCGGAUGAGUGUACCUGAAGAAAAAGCAUCGGCUAACUCCGUGCCAGCAGCCGCGGUAAUACGGAGGAUGCGAGCGUUAUCCGGCUUUAUUGGGUUUAAAGGGUGCGCAGGCGGUCUGUUAAGUCAGCGGUCAAAUCGUGGGGCUCAACCCCAUCCAGCCGUU